Molecule: ribosomal RNA, 164 nt
Filed under: Diabelia spathulata var. spathulata
Lineage: Eukaryota; Viridiplantae; Streptophyta; Magnoliopsida; Dipsacales; Caprifoliaceae
Description: 5.8S ribosomal RNA
Rfam family: 5.8S ribosomal RNA
About the family: 5.8S ribosomal RNA (5.8S rRNA) is a component of the large subunit of the eukaryotic ribosome.
Source: RNAcentral
AAAACGACUCUCGGCAACGGAUAUCUCGGCUCUCGCAUCGAUGAACAACGUAUCGAAAUGCGAUACUUGGUGUGAAUUGCAGAAUCCCGUGAACCAUCGAGUCUUUGAACGCAAGUUGCGCCCGAAGCCAUUAGGCCGAGGGCACGCCUGCCUGGGCGUCACAC